CAAAAGUACUGUUUUACAGGUCUAAUCAUAUAGCUCAUAUCCAUCGUCGAUUACCAGAGGGUGAUUUUCAGGCAAUCACCACAGAGGCAGGUGAACGUUUUCUACCUGAAUAAAAUUGAUGAAGAAGAACUAAAUCAGCAGAUAUUAUCCAUAUCUGCUACUCAAAAGACCUUAUGCCUUUUGAGUCCCUCCAUAUACUCGACUAAAAGCUCAGGCUGAAGAAGAGCAAAUUCAACAGGAUAGGCGUAAGGCAGAGAAAUUACAGGCUGCAGAGGACUCUGGAUUGGAAUCUGGCAAUGAGGAUGACAAAGACAACGUCAAAGACUCCUUGUGGGUUGAAGUAUACAAACCCAAGCAUUAUCUUGACCUUCUUAGUGAUGAGUCUACCAAUCGUAUUGUACUGCAGUGGGUGAA
Molecule: long non-coding RNA, 414 nt
Organism: Macrobrachium nipponense
Lineage: Eukaryota; Metazoa; Arthropoda; Malacostraca; Decapoda; Palaemonidae
Exons: 3
Source: RefSeq, a predicted model, not a curated record